This 342-nucleotide unclassified non-coding RNA is filed under the name soil metagenome. RNAcentral's name for it is "partial contains 5.8S ribosomal RNA, internal transcribed spacer 2, and large subunit ribosomal RNA". The stretch from base 1 to 120 matches the Rfam family "5.8S ribosomal RNA", at positions 35 to 154 of the family's 154-position model. The record is from RNAcentral.
GAUGAAGAACGCAGCGAAAUGCGAUAAGUAAUGUGAAUUGCAGAAUUCAGUGAAUCAUCGAAUCUUUGAACGCACAUUGCGCCCGCCAGCAUUCUGGCGGGCAUGCCUGUUCGAGCGUCAUUUCAACCCUCGAGCCCCCCCGGGGGCCUCGGUGUUGGGGGACGGCACACCAGCCGCCCCCGAAAUGCAGUGGCGACCUCGCCGCAGCCUCCCCUGCGUAGUAGCACACACCUCGCACCGGAGCGCAGAGACGGUCACGCCGUAAAACGCCCAACUUCUUAGAGUUGACCUCGGAUCAGGUAGGAAUACCCGCUGAACUUAAGCAUAUCAAUAAGCGGAGGA